Molecule: long non-coding RNA, 1693 nt
Filed under: Heterocephalus glaber (naked mole-rat)
Lineage: Eukaryota; Metazoa; Chordata; Mammalia; Rodentia; Bathyergidae
Description: lncRNA (ENSHGLG00100045928.1)
Source: RNAcentral
GGUGUUUGCUAGGAUGCAUGAGCUAAGCAGCUAAAACAACAGCACCAGGAGAACCAGAAGAGCCUCCGAGAAGGCUCGCAUGUCAGCAGGGAAUACAAUCAAGAUAACUCAGGAAAGAAGAUAAUUCAUAAUUAUAGAAGUAAAAAUGCAUAACUCUUAAUAGUGAUCAAUUCAACAGAGAAGAGAUAGCCUUUGAAAUAUCUGAAUUUUCUUUAAAUAUUAAUGAUGAAGAAUUUAGGGAAAUAUCCACCUAUGGGACCAAGAUGAUUUCAUCCAGCCGCUGUGUCUGGAGGUCGGUCUCUAACUACAGAGUGACAUGGACCUCACACACUGCUUCCUGAAAGCAGUGAUAUACAAACGCUGUUGUGCUAUGUGUUCGCUAUUUAGCAGCGAGCUUUCAGAGUGCAGAUCUGACCUGAACACUGCUUGGUUUUCAUGCACAUUAACACAGGAGAUGGGAGUGAAACAGCAGGGCGUGAACUUCACUUGCUCAUCGGUGAAGCUCAGCAGUAAGGACUAACUACUCAGCUUGAUUGGACAAGAGCUUCUGAAUACUGGAAGAGUAUUUCUUCCAUCUUUUUCAUUCUAGUCACAUUUUCAAAUGCACAGAACCCAUAUUCUUUUCAGUUUGGACUUAAUUGCUAACAUUUAAACACAUUAUCUAUAAUUUGAAAACUAAUUCAAAUUUAUAAGUUCAAGAUAUUUCUAGUAGAUGCAUAUAUCCAGUUUAUAUAUGGAUUAAGAUGUGACUCUGUUUUUCCUUCUCUGACCAAAGAAGUUUUUUUGUUUGUUUUUUUUUUCGGGGGGGGGGUAGCUGGGAUCGAACUUGGCUCCUUGCGCUUGCGCAGCAGGUGGCGAAACCACUGAGCUAAGUCCCCAGCCCUGACCAAAGAAGUUUAAAAGAGAUGAAUGGCUACAAUGAUAUUAUAUAAUGAUAUUUUAUGUAUUCAUAUACAGAACAAGGCAUUAUUUUUCAAUAGCAAGUUUAUUUGCCACUUCAUUAAAAAAUUUUUGAGUAGGGAGAAAUCAAUCUACAGUAAGUAACUAAAGCUGCAAUUCUGGAUUUCUUUUUGGUCAAGAUAUCUUUGAAGCUAAUGAACAUUUAGUUUAGACAUAGGUACAAUACUUUGAAUUAAAUAUUUAUGGGUUCGAUAAUACCAGAAUUUAAAAAUGCACAUACACACACAUAAGAACUGAAUUUUCAUAUGAUGUAAAUACUAAUUUACUUUGCAUAAAUAAAACAAGAUGCUGUUUCUUUUCUACACCUCAAAUAGAUUCAUACUACCAAUAAAUGAAAUGUACACCAAAAUAACCAAUAUCAUUUAAAAUUUCCUAUGUUUUACCAGCAAAUUAAACCAAAAUAUCUAAUUAGUCCUGUGUGUUUAAAUGAAGAAAACUUGAUUUAAUUAUUUGCUUACUGGCUUUUUAUUUUUGCAAGACAUGGCUCAUUAAAAGUUGUGAUAGACUCUGCCAAUAAAAUCCAGCAGAUUGCACUUUGGAAACAGGUAAUUAAGUUAAAAUAUAAGACACAUAAAAUUCUGUUUUGUGGUUUUCAUCAGCCAGACACAGAAAGUAAGACAAAUAUUUGAAUUGAAUUAUAUUUUCAAAAUACACAUUUUUUUGAAAUAAAAAAUUUUAAGACCAAAUCGUUUCAUUAUUUAACACAUGUAGCACUGUUAAAUGCUAACUCAGG